RNAcentral lists this ribosomal RNA (468 nucleotides) under uncultured bacterium. Its description in RNAcentral is "partial 16S ribosomal RNA". It matches the Rfam family "Bacterial small subunit ribosomal RNA", at positions 28 to 507 of the family's 1533-position model. The record is from RNAcentral.
GACGAACGCUGGCGGCGUGCUUAACACAUGCAAGUCGAACGGAAAGGUCAUGCUCUUGUUGGUUGCUCGAGUGGCGAAAGCGUGAGAAAAACGUGAGUAACCUGCCCUUGACUUAGGGAUAACAUCAGGAAAAAGCGGCGCAUACCGGAUAGGAGCUCCUGCUGCGUGGUGGGGGUUGGAAAGUGUUGGCGGUUGGGGAUGGUCUCGCGGGUUAUCAGCUUGUUGGUGGGGUAGUGGUUUACCAAGGCUUUGACGGGUAGCCGGCCUGAGAGGGUGACCGGCCACAUUGGGCCUGAGAUACGGCCCAGACUCCUACGGGAGGCAGCAGGGGGGAAUAUUGCACAAUGGGCGGAAGCCUGAGGCAGCAACGCCGCGUGCGGGAUGACGGCCUUCGGGUUGUAAACCGCUUUCGCCUGUGACGAAGCGUGAGUGACGGUAAUGGGUAAAGAAGCACCGGCUAACUACGUG